RNA transcript from Otolemur garnettii (small-eared galago), 864 nucleotides. It is a transcript of the gene named 14-3-3 protein epsilon pseudogene, with no coding region annotated. The transcript has a single exon. The record is from RefSeq and is a predicted model, not a curated record. NCBI's taxonomy places the organism in Eukaryota, Metazoa, Chordata, Mammalia, Primates, Galagidae.
GGUGAACCAGGCAAAGCUGGCCGAGCAGGCUGAGCGAUGCGACAACAUGGUGGACUCAAAGAAGAAAGUAGCAGGGGUGGAUGUGGAGCUGACAGGUGAAGAAAGAAACCUUCUAUCUGUUGCAUAUAAGAAUGUGAUUGGAGCUAGAAGAGCUUCCUGGAGAAUAAUCAGCAGCACUGAAUAGAAAGAAGAAAACAAGGGAGGAGAAAACAAACGAAAACUGAUUCGGGAAUAUGGGCAAAUGGUUGAGACUGAGCUAAAGUUAAUCUGCUGCGCCAUUCUGGAUGUACUGGACAAACACCUCAUUCCAGCAGCUAACGCUGGCGAGUCCAAGGUUUUCUACUUCUAUAAAAUGAAAGGGGACUACCACAGGUGUCUGGCAGAAUUUGCCACAGGCAAUGACAGGAGGGAGGCUGCGGAGAACAGCCUGGUGGCUUAUAAAGCUGCUCGUGAUAUUGCAAUGACAGAACUUCCACCAACGCAUCCUAGUCGCUUAGGUCUUGCUCUCAACUUUUCCGUAUUCUACUAUGAAAUUCUUAAUUCCCCUGACCGUGCCUGCAGGUUAGCAAAAGCGGCUUGGGAUGAUGCAAUUGCAGAACUGGAUACGCUGAGUGCAGAAAGCUAUAAGGACUCUACACUUAUCAUGCAGUUGUUACGUGAUCAUCUGACACUAUGGACUUCAGACAUGCAGGGUGACGGUGAAGAGCAGAAUAGAGAAUGCUGCAGGAUGUGGAAGACGACAAUCAGGGAGACACGACAGCCACCAAGAGAAACCAUCUCUGACCACCCCACUCCUCCCCACCCCACCCCUUGGAAAUUCCCCAUCGUCACUGAGAACCACCAAAUCUGACUUUUACAUUUGGU